Molecule: ribosomal RNA, 465 nt
Filed under: uncultured Weissella sp.
Lineage: Bacteria; Bacillati; Bacillota; Bacilli; Lactobacillales; Lactobacillaceae
Description: bacterial SSU rRNA
Rfam family: Bacterial small subunit ribosomal RNA
Source: RNAcentral
CCUACGGGAGGCUGCAGUAGGGAAUCUUCCACAAUGGACGAAAGUCUGAUGGAGCAACGCCGCGUGUGUGAUGAAGGGUUUCGGCUCGUAAAACACUGUUGUAAGAGAAGAAUGACAUUGAGAGUAACUGUUCAGUGUGUGAUGGUAUCUUACCAGAAAGGAACGGCUAAAUAAGGGCCAGCGGGCGCUGUGAUAUUAAUGUUCCUAGCGCGCUCCGGAGUGAAUGGGCGUAAAGCAGGCGCAGACGGUUGAGUAAGUCCGAAGUGAAAGCCCACGGCUUAACCGUGGAAGUGCUUUGGAAACUGGAGAACUUGAGGGCAGGAGAGGAGAGUGGAACUCCAUGUGUAGCGGUGAAAUGCGUAGAUAUAUGGAAGAACACCAGUGGCGAAGGCGGCUCUCUGGACUGUAACUGACGUUGAGGUUCGAAAGUGUGGGUAGCAAACAGGAUUAGAUACCCUGGUAGUC